UAUUGAUGAAGAGUUUAAAUAGUCAUCUAGAAGGCCCUAAUUUGUUGGGGUUCAAGAUCAAUUCCUAGGGCUGGUUGAUUUUUGAUGGUCACGACAGUAAUAUGGCAUCAUUUGUUUCUUGAUCAGCUGAGCUCUUUGGUUUGGUGAACACACUUAUGGAAAAUUCCAGAAACACUGCAGAGAAGGAUCUUUCUAUUCAAAGAUAUGCUGUCAUUCCAUUGUCUCCAAACAACGGAUUAACAGGAUGGGUACCAAAUUGUGACACCCUGCACCAUCUCAUUCGGAGUAAAGAGAUGCUAGAAAGAUCACCUUAAAUCUAGAGCACAAACAUAUGCUUAAUUUUGCUAAAGAUUAUGACCAUUUGCCACUUAUAGCUAAAGUGGAGGUGUUUGAGU
Molecule: non-coding RNA, 395 nt
Organism: Camellia sinensis
Lineage: Eukaryota; Viridiplantae; Streptophyta; Magnoliopsida; Ericales; Theaceae
Source: RefSeq, a predicted model, not a curated record